RNAcentral lists this ribosomal RNA (253 nucleotides) under uncultured bacterium. Its description in RNAcentral is "partial 16S ribosomal RNA". It matches the Rfam family "Bacterial small subunit ribosomal RNA", at positions 524 to 776 of the family's 1533-position model. The record is from RNAcentral.
UACAGAGGUCCCAAGCGUUGUUCGGAUUCACUGGGCGUAAAGGGUGCGUAGGUGGUGAGGUAAGUCGGAUGUGAAAGCUCGGAGCUCAACUCCGAAAUGGCAUUGGAAACUACCCUGCUAGAGGGUCGGAGGGGGGACUGGAAUACUUGGUGUAGCAGUGAAAUGCGUAGAUAUCAAGUGGAACACCAGUGGCGAAGGCGGCUCUCUGGGACGGUACUGACGCUGAGACGCGAAAGCGUGGGGAGCGAACAGG